UACGAAGGGGGGCUAGCGUUGUUCGGAAUUACUGGGCGUAAAGCGCACGUAGGCGGAUAUUUAAGUCAGGGGUGAAAUCCCGGGGCUCAACCCCGGAACUGCCUUUGAUACUGGGUAUCUUGAGUGUGGUAGAGGUGAGUGGAAUUGCGAGUGUAGAGGUGAAAUUCGUAGAUAUUCGCAGGAACACCAGUGGCGAAGGCGGCUCACUGGGACCACAACUGACGCUGAGGUGCGAAAGCGUGGGGAGCAAACAGGG
This 256-nucleotide ribosomal RNA is filed under the name uncultured bacterium. Its description in RNAcentral is "partial 16S ribosomal RNA". It matches the Rfam family "Bacterial small subunit ribosomal RNA", at positions 524 to 777 of the family's 1533-position model. The record is from RNAcentral.